GCGACGGGUGUUCGCUGGGAGCGGGUCGCCGCUCCGAGAGGAAAGUCCGAGCUCCGAAGGCAGAGAUGCAGGCCAACGGCCUGUGGGAGUGAUCCCGAGGACAGUGCAACAGAGAAGAGACCGCCCGCACGCGAUGACCGCAAGGGAGGCGCCUGCGAGCAGAGGGUGAAACGGCGAGGUAAGAGCUCACCGCGUCGCUGGUGACAGCGAUGGCACGGCAAACCCCAUCUGGAGCAAGACACAACAGGAAGCGCAGGGGAGACCCGAAAGGCUGUGCCGGCCGAUGCUUCCGGGUAUGUCGCUGGAGGCCGUCGGCAACGACGGUCCUAGAGGAAUGAACGCCGCGCCCCGCCGGGCAACCGCGCGGGGCGUACAGAACUCGGCUUACAGUGCU
Molecule: RNase P RNA, 394 nt
Filed under: zebrafish metagenome
Description: Bacterial RNase P class A
Rfam family: Bacterial RNase P class A
About the family: Ribonuclease P (RNase P) is a ubiquitous endoribonuclease, found in archaea, bacteria and eukarya as well as chloroplasts and mitochondria. Its best characterised activity is the generation of mature 5'-ends of tRNAs by cleaving the 5'-leader elements of precursor-tRNAs.
Source: RNAcentral